GAGUUUGAUCCUGGCUCAGGAUGAACGCUGGCGGCGUGCUUAACACAUGCAAGUCGAGCGAAGCACUUAAGUCUGAUUCUUCAGAUGAAGACUUUUGUGACUGAGCGGCGGACGGGUGAGUAACGCGUGGGUAACCUGCCUCAUACAGGGGGAUAACAGUUAGAAAUAGCUGCUAAUACCGCAUAAGCGCACGGUUCCGCAUGGAACAGUGUGAAAAACUCCGGUGGUGUGAGAUGGACCCGCGUCUGAUUAGCCAGUUGGCGGGGUAACGGCCCACCAAAGCGACGAUCAGUAGCCGGCCUGAGAGGGUGAACGGCCACAUUGGGACUGAGACACGGCCCAGACUCCUACGGGAGGCAGCAGUGGGGAAUAUUGCACAAUGGGGGAAACCCUGAUGCAGCGACGCCGCGUGAAGGAAGAAGUAUCUCGGUAUGUAAACUUCUAUCAGCAGGGAAGAAAAUGACGGUACCUGACUAAGAAGCCCCGGCUAACUACGUGCCAGCCGCCGCGGUAAUAC
RNAcentral lists this ribosomal RNA (517 nucleotides) under uncultured bacterium. RNAcentral describes it as "bacterial SSU rRNA". It matches the Rfam family "Bacterial small subunit ribosomal RNA", at positions 9 to 526 of the family's 1533-position model. The record is from RNAcentral.